RNAcentral lists this unclassified non-coding RNA (348 nucleotides) under soil metagenome. RNAcentral describes it as "partial contains 5.8S ribosomal RNA, internal transcribed spacer 2, and large subunit ribosomal RNA". The stretch from base 1 to 120 matches the Rfam family "5.8S ribosomal RNA", at positions 35 to 154 of the family's 154-position model. The record is from RNAcentral.
GAUGAAGAACGUAGCGAAAUGCGAUAAGUAAUGUGAAUUGCAGAAUUCAGUGAAUCAUCGAGUCUUUGAACGCACAUUGCGCCCCCUGGUAUUCCGGGGGGCAUGCCUGUCCGAGCGUCAUUGCUGCCCUCAAGCACGGCUUGUGUGUUGGGCCCCCGCCCCCCGGCUUCGGGGGGCGGGCCCGAAAGGCAGCGGCGGCACCGCGUCCGGUCCUCGAGCGUAUGGGGCUUCGUCACCCGCUCUGUAGGCCCGGCCGGCGCCCGCCGGCGACCCCAAUCGAUCUUUCCAGGUUGACCUCGGAUCAGGUAGGGAUACCCGCUGAACUUAAGCAUAUCAAUAAGCGGAGGA